RNAcentral lists this ribosomal RNA (468 nucleotides) under uncultured bacterium. Its description in RNAcentral is "partial 16S ribosomal RNA". It matches the Rfam family "Bacterial small subunit ribosomal RNA", at positions 28 to 507 of the family's 1533-position model. The record is from RNAcentral.
GACGAACGCUGGCGGCGUGCUUAACACAUGCAAGUCGAACGGAAAGGCCCUGCUUUUGUGGGGUGCUCGAGUGGCGAACGGGUGAGUAACACGUGAGUAACCUGCCCUUGACUUUGGGAUAACUUCAGGAAACUGGGGCUAAUACCGGAUAGGAGCUCCUGCUGCAUGGUGGGGGUUGGAAAGUUUCGGCGGUUGGGGAUGGACUCGCGGCUUAUCAGCUUGUUGGUGGGGUAGUGGCUUACCAAGGGUUUGACGGGUAGCCGGCCUGAGAGGGGGACCGGGCACAUUGGGACUGAGAUACGGCCCAGACGCCUACGGGAGGCAGCAGUGGGGAAUAUUGCACAAUGGGCGGAAGCCUGAUGCAGCAACGCCGCGUGCGGGAUGACGGCCUUCGGGUUGUAAACCGCUUUCGCCUGUGACGAAGCGGGAGUGACGGUAAUGGGUAAAGAAGCACCGGCUAACUACGUG